This 237-nucleotide unclassified non-coding RNA is filed under the name uncultured fungus. RNAcentral's name for it is "sequence contains ITS1, 5.8S rRNA gene". The stretch from base 189 to 237 matches the Rfam family "5.8S ribosomal RNA", at positions 1 to 49 of the family's 154-position model. Lineage: Eukaryota; Fungi. The record is from RNAcentral.
UUUCCGUAGGUGAACCUGCGGAAGGAUCAUUAACCAUUGGAUACCUUCGGGUAUAUCCCAUCCGUGUCUACAUACUCUUGUUGCUUUGGCAGGCCGUGGUCACCCACUGUGGGCUAUGCCUGCAUGCGCCUGCCAGAGGACCCCCAACUCUGUGUUUAGUGUUGUCUGAGUCUUAUUUAAUACGUUAAAACUUUCAACAACGGAUCUCUUGGUUCUGGCAUCGAUGAAGAACGCAGC